GUCGGGAUGGCGGAACUGGCAGACGCGUACGUUUGAGGGGCGUAUGGGAGACCGUGUGGGUUCAAGUCCCACUCUCGACACCA
RNAcentral lists this transfer RNA (83 nucleotides) under Clostridiales bacterium. Its description in RNAcentral is "tRNA-Leu". It matches the Rfam family "tRNA". Rfam says of the family: Transfer RNA (tRNA) molecules are approximately 80 nucleotides in length. RNAcentral also lists the same sequence under 1 other name. The record is from RNAcentral. Lineage: Bacteria; Bacillati; Bacillota; Clostridia; Eubacteriales.